CUGUAGUCUGAGUUUCUGAUAAUCAAGGAUUUAAGUCCCCACAAUAAAUACACAUUUCUACAUACUGACUUCAUAGGACAUUUUUCCUUGUUAUCCAGUUUUAACUUUUCUAAAUAAUUUUCCCUUAGAGUUCACCGAACAGCAGAAAGAAUUUCAAGCUACUGCUCGUAAAUUUGCCAGAGAGGAAAUCAUCCCAGUGGCUGCAGAAUAUGAUAAAACUGGUGAAUAUCCAGUCCCCCUAAUUAGAAGAGCCUGGGAACUUGGUUUAAUGAACACACACAUUCCAGAGAACUGUGCAAAUGCCUAUUAUUAUUGCUGGAAAUGAUCAACAAAAGAAGAAGUAUUUGGGGAGAAUGACUGAGGAGCCAUUGAUGUGUGCUUAUUGUGUAACAGAACCUGGAGCAGGCUCUGAUGUAGCUGGUAUAAAGACCAAAGCAGAAAAGAAAGGAGAUGAGUAUAUUAUUAAUGGUCAGAAGAUGUGGAUAACCAACGGAGGAAAAGCUAAUUGGUAUUUUUUAUUGGCACGUUCUGAUCCAGAUCCUAAAGCUCCUGCUAAUAAAGCCUUUACUGGAUUCAUUGUGGAAGCAGAUACCCCAGGAAUUCAGAUUGGGAGAAAGGAAUUAAACAUGGGCCAGCGAUGUUCAGAUACUAGAGGAAUUGUCUUCGAAGAUGUGAAAGUGCCUAGAGAAAAUGUUUUAAUUGGUGACGGAGCUGGUUUCAAAGUUGCAAUGGGAGCUUUUGAUAAAACCAGACCUGUAGUAGCUGCUGGUGCUGUUGGAUUAGCACAAAGAGCUUUGGAUGAAGCUACCAAGUAUGCCCUGGAAAGGAAAACUUUCGGAAAGCUACUUGUAGAGCACCAAGCAAUAUCAUUUAUGCUGGCUGAAAUGGCAAUGAAAGUUGAACUAGCUAGAAUGAGUUACCAGAGAGCAGCUUGGGAGGUUGAUUCUGGUCGUCGAAAUACCUAUUAUGCUUCUAUUGCAAAGGCAUUUGCUGGAGAUAUUGCAAAUCAGUUAGCUACUGAUGCUGUGCAGAUACUUGGAGGCAAUGGAUUUAAUACAGAAUAUCCUGUAGAAAAACUAAUGAGGGAUGCCAAAAUCUAUCAGAUUUAUGAAGGUACUUCACAAAUUCAAAGACUUAUUGUAGCCCGUGAACACAUUGACAAGUACAAAAAUUAAAAAAAUUACUGUAGAAAUAUUGAAUAACUAGAACACAAGCCACUGUUUCAGCUCCAGAAAAAAGAAAGGGCUUUAACGUUUUUUCCAGUGAAAACAAAUCCUCUUAUAUUAAAUCUAAGCAACUGCUUAUUAUAGUAGUUUAUACUUUUGCUUAACUCUGUUAUGUCUCUUAAGCAGGUUUG
RNAcentral lists this small RNA (1357 nucleotides) under Pan troglodytes (chimpanzee). RNAcentral's name for it is "retained intron". The record is from RNAcentral. Lineage: Eukaryota; Metazoa; Chordata; Mammalia; Primates; Hominidae.